Molecule: small nuclear RNA, 97 nt
Filed under: Octodon degus (degu)
Lineage: Eukaryota; Metazoa; Chordata; Mammalia; Rodentia; Octodontidae
Source: RNAcentral
GUGCUCGCUUUGGCAGCACAUAAACCAAAACUGGAACGAUACAGAGAAGAUUAGCAUGGCCCCUGUGCAAAGAUGAAAUGAAGCAUUCCAUAUUUUU